Molecule: ribosomal RNA, 1032 nt
Filed under: Escherichia coli
Lineage: Bacteria; Pseudomonadati; Pseudomonadota; Gammaproteobacteria; Enterobacterales; Enterobacteriaceae
Description: partial 23S ribosomal RNA
Rfam family: Bacterial large subunit ribosomal RNA
Source: RNAcentral
GAAACCCGGUGAUCUAGCCAUGGGCAGGUUGAAGGUUGGGUAACACUAACUGGAGGACCGAACCGACUAAUGUUGAAAAAUUAGCGGAUGACUUGUGGCUGGGGGUGAAAGGCCAAUCAAACCGGGAGAUAGCUGGUUCUCCCCGAAAGCUAUUUAGGUAGCGCCUCGUGAAUUCAUCUCCGGGGGUAGAGCACUGUUUCGGCAAGGGGGUCAUCCCGACUUACCAACCCGAUGCAAACUGCGAAUACCGGAGAAUGUUAUCACGGGAGACACACGGCGGGUGCUAACGUCCGUCGUGAAGAGGGAAACAACCCAGACCGCCAGCUAAGGUCCCAAAGUCAUGGUUAAGUGGGAAACGAUGUGGGAAGGCCCAGACAGCCAGGAUGUUGGCUUAGAAGCAGCCAUCAUUUAAAGAAAGCGUAAUAGCUCACUGGUCGAGUCGGCCUGCGCGGAAGAUGUAACGGGGCUAAACCAUGCACCGAAGCUGCGGCAGCGACACUAUGUGUUGUUGGGUAGGGGAGCGUUCUGUAAGCCUGUGAAGGUGGCCUGUGAGGGUUGCUGGAGGUAUCAGAAGUGCGAAUGCUGACAUAAGUAACGAUAAAGCGGGUGAAAAGCCCGCUCGCCGGAAGACCAAGGGUUCCUGUCCAACGUUAAUCGGGGCAGGGUGAGUCGACCCCUAAGGCGAGGCCGAAAGGCGUAGUCGAUGGGAAACAGGUUAAUAUUCCUGUACUUGGUGUUACUGCGAAGGGGGGACGGAGAAGGCUAUGUUGGCCGGGCGACGGUUGUCCCGGUUUAAGCGUGUAGGCUGGUUUUCCAGGCAAAUCCGGAAAACCAAGGCUGAGGCGUGAUGACGAGGCACUACGGUGCUGAAGCGACAAAUGCCCUGCUUCCAGGAAAAGCCUCUAAGCAUCAGGUAACAUCAAAUCGUACCCCAAACCGACACAGGUGGUCAGGUAGAGAAUACCAAGGCGCUUGAGAGAACUCGGGUGAAGGAACUAGGCAAAAUGGUGCCGUAACUUCGGGAGAAGGCAC